This 253-nucleotide ribosomal RNA is filed under the name uncultured bacterium. RNAcentral's name for it is "partial 16S ribosomal RNA". It matches the Rfam family "Bacterial small subunit ribosomal RNA", at positions 524 to 776 of the family's 1533-position model. The record is from RNAcentral.
UACGUAGGGUGCAAGCGUUAAUCGGAAUUACUGGGCGUAAAGCGUGCGCAGGCGGUUAUGUAAGACAGUUGUGAAAUCCCCGGGCUCAACCUGGGAACUGCAUCUGUGACUGCAUAGCUAGAGUACGGUAGAGGGGGAUGGAAUUCCGCGUGUAGCAGUGAAAUGCGUAGAGAUCAGGAGGAAUACCGAUGGCGAAGGCAGGUCCCUGGGCUGACACUGACGCUCAUGCACGAAAGCGUGGGGAGCAAACAGG